AACGAACGCUGGCGGCAGGCUUAACACAUGCAAGUCGAACGCAUCCUUCGGGGUGAGUGGCAGACGGGUGAGUAACGCGUGGGAACGUGCCCUUCAGUUCGGGAUAACCCAGGGAAACUUGGGCUAAUACCGGAUACGUGCGAGAGCAGAAAGAUUUAUCGCUGAAGGAUCGGCCCGCGUCUGAUUAGCUAGUUGGUGGGGUAAUGGCCCACCAAGGCGACGAUCAGUAGCUGGUCUGAGAGGAUGGUCAGCCACAUUGGGACUGAGACACGGCCCAAACUCCUACGGGAGGCAGCAGUGGGGAAUAUUGGACAAUGGGCGCAAGCCUGAUCCAGCCAGGCCGCGUGAGUGAUGAAGGCCGUAGGGUUGUAAAGCUCUUUCGUCCGGGACGAUAAUGACGGUACCGGAAGAAGAAGCCCCGGCUAACUUCGUGCCAGCAGCCGCAGUAA
RNAcentral lists this ribosomal RNA (449 nucleotides) under uncultured bacterium. RNAcentral describes it as "partial 16S ribosomal RNA". It matches the Rfam family "Bacterial small subunit ribosomal RNA", at positions 29 to 523 of the family's 1533-position model. The record is from RNAcentral.